CUCCGCUACUGCUCAUAAGUUACCUAUCUUAUUAUCUAAGUUACUGACUUCACUUAUUAUGAACAGUUAGUAUAAAAGGUUUUUUGCAACUCUAACCACAAUUUGUCAUUUGUUAUGAUGAAUAGGGUGUUACAAUCUUGACCAUUUCCACCAUAAUCCCAAGCCUACGACCACCAAAAUGUGAACAAGUUGGUAGCUCAUCAUGCAUCCCCGCAAAUAGCAAACAACUUAUGGUACUAUACAUUGCCCUAUACAUGACAGCACUCGGCACCGGCGGCCUAAAAUCGAGCGUCUCCGGCUUUGGCACCGACCAAUUUGACGAUUCUGACAAAAAAGAAAAAGGUCAAAUGAUAAAAUUCUUCGACUGGUUCUUUUUCUUUAUUAAUGUAGGCUCGCUCGGUGCAGUAACAGUAUUGGUGUAUAUUCAAGAUAAUUUGGGAAGAGAGUGGGGUUAUGGCAUAUGUGCAUGUGCUAUUGUUAUUGGACUUGUUGUGUUCUUAUCUGGGACAAGGAAAUAUAGGUUCAAGAAACUUGUGGGGAGUCCAUUGACACAAAUUGCUUCAGUUAUUGUGGCUGCUUGGAAAAAAAGACAUUUGGAAUUACCUUCAGAUUCUUCACUUCUCUUUGAAAUUGAUGAUAUUUUUGGUGAAGGAAAUAAAAAAAGCAAACAAAAGUUGCCUCAUAGCAAGGAAUACCGGUGAGUUUUCCAUCUACUUUUUCUAGUUUAGCUUUAUAUAUGUUGACCUUAAGUGUAUAUAAUUUAUACGCUAGAAGAUCACUAAAUAUAUAAGGAUUUUAAUUAUAUACACUGAUAGUGCAUUAGCCUCUCUGCCUCGCCAGGUAGGGGUAAUGUCUGUGUAUAUACUACCCUCCCCAGACCCUACUGGUGGGAUUAUACUGGUUAUGUUGUUGUUGUUGUUGUUGUUGUUGUUGUUGUUGUUGUUGUUGUAUACUGAUAGUGCAUAACAACAACAAUAAGCCAGUAUAAUCUCACAAGUAUGGUCUGGAGAGAGUACUGUGUAUGCAUCCUUACCUCUACCUUUAGAAUAUAGAAAGACUGUUUAAACCUCGGCUCAAGUAAAAUGAAAAAGAAUCAGUAACAACCGCAAGAUAAUAAGAAAAUAAAAAUGAAGGAAACAAGGGACAUUAAUAGAAACCUAAGAAUAAGAAAUAUAAGGCUAACAUUGAUCCUACUGAUAGUAUAAGAUUUUUUAGUUAAUUAUUAUUUAUUUUUACGAGUCAAGAUGAUUAAUUGAGUCCUAAUUCUAGAAGUUAGGUAGAUAGACAUUACCCCAGUUGAAUCUUGUACAGUAAAGAUUCUUUUUUUUUUAUCUUUAAUUUCUUCUUUUUGAAUAAAGAAGAUUCCCCUUUAAAUCAUGAAAAAUUUGGACGAAGGAAAAUCAUUGAUAGGUUUCAGGAGACUAAUAUAAGCCACAAAUGAGAAAAAUAAUUUUUCUACGUGCGACUAAUAUUAUUUGAAGUAUUGACUUUAUCAUUUAUAUUGUUUACAAUUUUUCAUAAUAAUUCAAAGUAGGUGUCUAUGAUAAGUAGGUGAUGAUUAAUUUUUUUUAAAAAAAAAACAAAAGAGAAGUUGGUGCCAAACUAUGAACUUAUCUCCAUAUAUAGUUGGCCAGUUUUUUAUGGCUAACAAUCAAUCAAUUUUUAAAUAUCUAAAUUAUUUCCAUUUUGAAAUAGACAGCCUAUAAAGUAUUAUUUAAGAUACUUUGCUAUUUGACUCACUAUUGAAUGUAUCUUUGUAUACUAGCCUAAGUUUGGCGGGGUGUGUGUGGGGUGGGGGGUGGGGGCUGCCCCUAAUUCGGAGUAGACAAACAAAUAACCAAAAAGAUAAUUAUAUGUAACUGUGCGUAAUAAUUAAAUAAAAUUAGUUACCUAGAAAAUAAUACAAACAACAUGACUCAACGUGAUUAAACAUUCUUUACAUUGUCAGCGACUUAGCGUAAAUAUAUAUAAAUAUUUAAUUACAAACUCGGUAACUAAGACAAGCUAUAGGUUCAACGAUAGUUUCAAACACAUAUACUUCAAAUAGUUCUGCUUAUAUACAUGGGCGACACUAUAUGUUUUAAAGUGUGGUCACCUGACCAUCCUUUGUCGGAAAAUUACAUUGUGUAUAUAAGUAAAAUAUUAUAUUUUAGAGGUAUACAUAAUAUAUAUUAAAUAUUCUUUGUCGGAGAUUGAACAUCCUUGAAUAAGUUUCUGACUUCGCUACUGCCUAUAUAUGUAGGNNNNNNNNNNNNNNNNNNNNNNNNNAUUCACAGGGUUAGUUCUUUCAAUUUUGGCCAUGAUUGCUGCUGCCCUAACCGAGGUUAAGAGGCUAAAAGUUGCACAUUUGCAUGGAUUGGCCAAUGAUGAAAAUGCUACAAUUCCUUUGACUGUAUUUUGGCUAGUUCCGCAAUUCUUGCUAGUGGGGGCAGGUGAAGCAUUUACAUAUAUUGGCCAACUUGAUUUUUUCUUAAGGGAAUGUCCAAAAGGGAUGAAGACAAUGAGUACAGGGCUAUUUUUGAGUACACUUGCACUUGGAUUUUUUGUUAGUUCAAUUUUGGUUACAAUUGUGCAUAUUGUGACUGGGACAAAAAAUCCAUGGCUAGCUGACAAUUUGAACCAAGGGAGGUUAUAUGAUUUCUAUUGGCUUUUGGCAAUAUUGAGUGUGUUUAAUUUGAUGUUUUUCUUGUAUUCGUCGAGAAAAUAUGUGUACAAGGAGAAGAGACUUGCUGAAAUGGGGAUUGAAUUGGAAGAUGAUGGACCGGUUUGUCAUUGAAAUACAUAAAGACUCUAUCAUCAACAACAAAGGGUAUAUCGGAAACUACCUCUCUAUCUUCGAUCGUAUUGGAUAUGCGCUUGUUACUCCAUCAUCAACAAAAAAGAAAAAGAAAAAUGAGAUUUCAUUUUUUUUUUUGGCUUUAACUUUUGCCUUUUAUUGAUUGAGCUUGUGAAAACUCUUUAUUGGAAGAGUUAUGUAACAUAACUUUGCUUUUAAUUAUAUGUACAAAGAAUGGGAAAGAGGUAAGAUAAUGAAAAGGUCUAGAGCUCUUUUUAUUAUUCCUUUCCUUUUUUACUAUAUACCAUAAUAAUGUAAUGAAUUGCAAUGCAACACUAGGGUUUCAUACUUCUGAAACCUUUUUAUUUUGCUUUAAUUUCUAUCUCACUCAUUUCUCUUUUCCCCUUAAAUUUAAUUUGUUUCAUGUCACACAAACUGUUUUUUAAUCCUUCGAUUAUCCAUUCAACAGAAUAGGCACACAAAAAAAAACGAUUGAAUUUUCUUUUAAUUGUCAAAACCAGCGGCAAAGCCAGGAAUUUUUCUUAGGGUGUUCCAACCUAAAAGAAAUAAAAAAAAUCUCUGACAAAGUAUGUUCAAUAUAUGUAAUAUACCUGUAAAACCUAAUAUUUUACCUAUAUACACAGUGUAAUUUUCUGACGAAGUGCGGUCAAUUCUAUAGUAUAGCUUCGCCCAUGGUCAAAACCCUAGAUGUGAGGGCUUACAUGUUUAUAUAUUGGCUUUAAAUAUGUCAUGUCAUUCCUAUAAGGGAAUGUUACUAAGGUAAAAGAGUAUCACCAGAGAAGGAGCCGAAAUUUUCAUUUAUUGGUUCUGAAUUUUAGAAAGAUGAUUUUAAGUAUUAAUAAUUGAGUUAUAAAUUUAAUAUUUAUACAUAUUUAAUGAACAUUUAAACACAAAUAUGCCAUUUGAACAAAAGUUACAGGGUUUAUCCGAACCUGUAGCGAGGUGCUAAUUCUGCCCCUAGGUAUUACAUAAAUAUGCCAACAUGCACAUGCAAUUGUGGUAACUAGGCUGAUAGUGAUGCAAUAAUGUCGAAAUAUGUUACUUAUUUGUUUAAACACCUUUGGUGUUUUCUCUACUAUGUAAAAACAUGGCUAUAAAUUUAUACAACUAUAUCACCAACUAGCACCACUAAAUUCGAAUUGUUUGAAUCACUAUAAAUUGGUUAUUUGACAAGUCCUUGUUAUGGGCCAAAAACGAGAUGGGCAGCUUUUAUUUUCCCAUUAAAUGUAAUGAAUUGAAUUACCAGAUGGCAAUAGAAAUCCCCCUUUAUUGCUGUCCAUAUAAGCUUAUGAUCAGCCAUUUUUGCUACAUCCCCAUCUGAAUUUCUGUAAUGACAGAUUUGAAAAGCAUCAAACUAGCUUGUUAUCAUAUGACAACGUUUAUCAUAUUUGAUGUGUGAAAAAUGGAAAGUGAUAUGAAAAUUGAGGAUUUAAAUUUUAUGAAUUCAAUUUUUAAGUUUUUUAACAUUGAACCCGUUAUAAUUUUAAGUUAUAAGUUCAUAUCUACUAUUUUUAUAAUUUUCGUGAAUUUUUACACAUGAAUUUAUAUUAUGCUUUUAAAAUUAUGGUUCGAUUGAACCAGUUAGUAAAAUACUACAUUUGCCCUUGUCCAGAGGCGAAUCCAGAAUUUAAACUAUAUGGGUUCAAUAUUUUAGGUUCCUAACAUUGAACUUACCAUAUUUUAAAAGUUAUGGGUUCAUAUCUAUUAUUUAUUGCAAUUUUAGUGAACACGCAAAUAUUUAUGUUGCCUCGAAAGUUACAGGUUCAAUUAAACUCACAGGUACAAUGCUACAUUCGCCCCUGCCCUUGUCCGCAAGAUAAGUAUAAGGUCUGCCUAUAUACUAUCCUCCCAAUGUGAGGAUAUACUGAGUGCAUUAUUGUUGAUAAUUACCAGUUUAAGGAUCUCAUUUCCUUUUGAGAUUUAUUAUUUAAAAAAAACACCACCUUUUGUUGUUCCAUUUACAGCUUGUUUGGAUGGUUGUUACUCAUUUUAUCGUAUUGUAUUGUUAUCCCAAAAUAAUAUUUGGUUUGAUUGUUUUGUUAAAAUUAAUUGUAACGACCCGACCGAUCGUUUUGAGCAUUUUCACUUCGCUCAGUGGUUUGAGCACAUGAGUAGCUUCGUAUGAUGUAUUAUGACUUAUGUGAAUCGUCGGUUUUGGUUUGAGGUUAUUCGGAAUUGAUUUAGAAGAAUGAUUCUCAACUAGGAAGCUUUAAAUUAGAAGAGCUGACCAAGUUUGACUUUUUAGUAUUUGACCUCAGAUUGGAUUUUUUAUGGUUCCGUUAGCUCCUUUGGAUGAUUUUGGACUUAGGAACGUAUCCGGAUUGUGAUUUAGAGGUCUGUAGUUGAAUUUGGCUUGAAAUGACGAAAAGUUAAAUUUUUGGAAGUUUGAUCGGUAGUGAACUUUUUGAUAUCGGAUUCGGAUUGUUGUUCCGGGAAUUGAAAUAAAUUUGUUAUGUCAUUUGGGACUUGUGUGCAAAAUUUGGGUUCAUUCCGGGUUGGUUAGCUAUGUUUCGGCACGAGUUAUGGAUGUUGAAAAGUUUAAAGUUCAUCAAGUUCGAUUUGAGGCGCGAUUCAUUAUUUUGUUGUUGCCAUAUGUGAUUUGGGGCCGCGAGUAGGUCCGUGUUAUGUGAUGGGACUUGUUGGUAUACUUGAACGGGAUCCUGAGGGGCUCGAGCAUGUUUCGAAUUGAUUUCGGAUCAUUUUUCUCUAUGUUUUCAUUACUGGUAGCUGUUGUUUGCGCGUGUUUCAAACCGUCUUCGCGAUCGCGAAGAUUGGCACGCAAUCACGUAGUAUAUCAGAGGAUUUGGCCUUUUCCUUCGUUGCGUUCGUGCCAGUGGCAUCGAGUUCGCGAGCCUUUGUGAGGUUUGGGCAUUGUCACACCCCUUUUUACUCCUCCAAAGGAUAAUGAACGUUAUGGAUUGUAGGUUAAAAAGUUUUUCCAAUUAAAGUGACAAACUUGAGUAGGAAUUAUUUUAUUUACAUAGUCGCCACUUGGAAUUGAUUUUUAGGUGUUCCAAGUUACCUUUUAUUUGAAUCCCUAGUCAAAGGAAGAUUUGACUCUAUUUUUUAUCGGUCUCCGAAAAUAAAGUUCGGGUAAGAAAUUCUGUUGACCGGGGAGAAGGUGUAAGGCAUUCCCCGAGUCCCGGGGUUCUAGCACGGUCACUUUAUUGACUAUAUUUGGCUUAAAUUAAUUUUGGAUAAAACUGCAAUUUAUUUGAUUUUUAUGCUUUUCAUAUGUCUGCUUUUAUUUAUUAAAAAAAAUAAAGAAACGAUUUGAAUAAUAUUGAAUUGACCUAACCGUAGCACGCUAGCGAAUGCAUGAUCUAAACAAAAUUUACUAAUUUUGUAAUAAUCACCUUACGCAAGUGAAUCCGCAGUUGUGACAAAAGAUUAUUAGCACGUUAUUACUCUUGGAAAAAUAUCUAUAUUUUAUAUUGCUUUAUUAUGGACAAUAGGCCAACCAAAAUAAGUUCAUUUGGCCAAAGCCUGUUUCUCGUAACCCCGUUUAAGAACUAACGUGAGAGAUAGGCUAAACUAUAAGCAAAUAAUUAACUAAAGAUAUAAUAUUAAAUACUAAUAGAAUAUACUAGGAUAAAAAUUAUUUAAAAUUCCUAUGGCCCACUAAUGUUACAAUUAGCCUAAACCCACAAUCUUUUACUUUCUGUCAAGCAAACACAUGGCCCAUUAUUCAGUCAGCUAUUCCCUUCCCCAAUAUUCUUAACAGAAUUAAUUCACAAAGAGAUCCUAUACUCAUGACAUUAACAGAAGAAAAGUAAUGGACAAACAUCCAUGAAUGAUAAAUAAAUUAAUAGAACGACCAAGGAACUUCAAUAAAAGUGGUAAGUAUGAACCUUUACAUUCAGCGAAUAAGCCUCUUCAAUAGAUCCAAACAUGAAGCUCCAACAUCAUCAAAGAUAUAUGAAAACCCGAAGCUACAACCCGGAAAAAGAACUCGAACAGGACCUGCGACACGAGACUGCAUCGGAACCUCGAAACUCAGUAGUAGAGAAACACAACAAAAAGAUGAGCGAUUUGUGAUGUUGAUUGGGGAUUAUUUCGCUGAAACUUUUGGGGCUGAUUUAUGUUGGUAUUUUGAGGAGGCUUCAAGGUGCCUAAAGGUGUUUGAGAUGGUGGGGAAGAUGGCUAAUUUUUAGGCAUUUUGCAGCUGAUUUUUGGCUGGAUUUAGGGGGGCCGUUUUGAGGUGGAAAAGAGAUGAUAUCUGUGAAGAAGAACUUGUUCCGUCGUGUUAAGCUAUCUCCUCUUAUGAAGUUUUUAGAGGUGCUUUUUAUGGUAGAAAAAUGGAUGUUUUCAAUGAUCAAAACAAAAAGAAAAGAUGGGAUCCCCUUUUUUUUUAGUCCUAUUUGUGAGGGCUUGUUCUCCUCCUUUUUUCAAGUGGAGACAUCUCCUUUUCUUAACUCAUUUACUUUUCUAAUCUCCAUCCCCUCUUUCAUGCCCCUUUCCCCGUUCAUAUUUUCUGCUUUUUUCUCCUCUUUGAAAUCCUUGAUCAAGAAAAAAGAAAAAAGAAAAAUAUGUGGAUCCCCUGCUAUGAUUGUGUGUGAGUCUUGGGCCCAAAGAACGUGGGUCAAAGUGAAAAGAACUAAGAGAAAUAUUUUUUCCUUUUUUAUGUAAUUGGCAUGUGAAAAUGAGGUAUUACCUUUUCUUUCUUUUAUAAGAAUAAAAACUAUAA
RNAcentral lists this long non-coding RNA (7484 nucleotides) under Nicotiana tabacum (common tobacco). Its description in RNAcentral is "long non-coding RNA (NTAB_LNC013330)". Lineage: Eukaryota; Viridiplantae; Streptophyta; Magnoliopsida; Solanales; Solanaceae. The record is from RNAcentral.